RNAcentral lists this ribosomal RNA (1415 nucleotides) under Lactiplantibacillus pentosus. Its description in RNAcentral is "bacterial SSU rRNA". It matches the Rfam family "Bacterial small subunit ribosomal RNA". Lineage: Bacteria; Bacillati; Bacillota; Bacilli; Lactobacillales; Lactobacillaceae. The record is from RNAcentral.
UCGACGAACUCUGGUAUUGAUUGGUGCUUGCAUCAUGAUUUACAUUUGAGUGAGUGGCGAACUGGUGAGUAACACGUGGGAAACCUGCCCAGAAGCGGGGGAUAACACCUGGAAACAGAUGCUAAUACCGCAUAACAACUUGGACCGCAUGGUCCGAGUUUGAAAGAUGGCUUCGGCUAUCACUUUUGGAUGGUCCCGCGGCGUAUUAGCUAGAUGGUGGGGUAACGGCUCACCAUGGCAAUGAUACGUAGCCGACCUGAGAGGGUAAUCGGCCACAUUGGGACUGAGACACGGCCCAAACUCCUACGGGAGGCAGCAGUAGGGAAUCUUCCACAAUGGACGAAAGUCUGAUGGAGCAACGCCGCGUGAGUGAAGAAGGGUUUCGGCUCGUAAAACUCUGUUGUUAAAGAAGAACAUAUCUGAGAGUAACUGUUCAGGUAUUGACGGUAUUUAACCAGAAAGCCACGGCUAACUACGUGCCAGCAGCCGCGGUAAUACGUAGGUGGCAAGCGUUGUCCGGAUUUAUUGGGCGUAAAGCGAGCGCAGGCGGUUUUUUAAGUCUGAUGUGAAAGCCUUCGGCUCAACCGAAGAAGUGCAUCGGAAACUGGGAAACUUGAGUGCAGAAGAGGACAGUGGAACUCCAUGUGUAGCGGUGAAAUGCGUAGAUAUAUGGAAGAACACCAGUGGCGAAGGCGGCUGUCUGGUCUGUAACUGACGCUGAGGCUCGAAAGUAUGGGUAGCAAACAGGAUUAGAUACCCUGGUAGUCCAUACCGUAAACGAUGAAUGCUAAGUGUUGGAGGGUUUCCGCCCUUCAGUGCUGCAGCUAACGCAUUAAGCAUUCCGCCUGGGGAGUACGGCCGCAAGGCUGAAACUCAAAGGAAUUGACGGGGGCCCGCACAAGCGGUGGAGCAUGUGGUUUAAUUCGAAGCUACGCGAAGAACCUUACCAGGUCUUGACAUACUAUGCAAAUCUAAGAGAUUAGACGUUCCCUUCGGGGACAUGGAUACAGGUGGUGCAUGGUUGUCGUCAGCUCGUGUCGUGAGAUGUUGGGUUAAGUCCCGCAACGAGCGCAACCCUUAUUAUCAGUUGCCAGCAUUAAGUUGGGCACUCUGGUGAGACUGCCGGUGACAAACCGGAGGAAGGUGGGGAUGACGUCAAAUCAUCAUGCCCCUUAUGACCUGGGCUACACACGUGCUACAAUGGAUGGUACAACGAGUUGCGAACUCGCGAGAGUAAGCUAAUCUCUUAAAGCCAUUCUCAGUUCGGAUUGUAGGCUGCAACUCGCCUACAUGAAGUCGGAAUCGCUAGUAAUCGCGGAUCAGCAUGCCGCGGUGAAUACGUUCCCGGGCCUUUGGAACCCCCGCCCCNCCACACCUGGAAAGUUUGGAAACCCCCAAAGGCGGGGGGGGAAACC